UAUAAGCAAGAUAACUUUAAUUUAAGCAAGAUGACUACAAGAUACUGAAUUUAGACAUGUGCAAUUGCUUUGCUAGCUCAUACAGCACAUAAUCUAUAGCUUGCUUAGGCUCGCCUCUUUAAUGUUUUACAUUUGUCUAGUAAGUUUUAUUUUUUUGUACGUGUAGAAGCAUACGAAAACAAAAGUUUGACCAACGAAUUGGAACGUCUAAAACGAGAGAAAAAGCAGAACGAAGAUAAAUUGGAGGAUGGUAAGAAAGAGAUAUCGGUAUUGAAAGAGAAGCUGAAAGAACUCGAGAAAGAGCUAGCAGAGAAAGAGGAGGAGAACAAGAGCUUGACUGAAAACUUGAAAGAAGCAUACGAAAACAAAAG
Amphimedon queenslandica is the source of this 371-nucleotide long non-coding RNA. RefSeq lists it as uncharacterized. The record is from RefSeq and is a predicted model, not a curated record. The transcript has 3 exons. NCBI's taxonomy places the organism in Eukaryota, Metazoa, Porifera, Demospongiae, Haplosclerida, Niphatidae.